UUUUAAAAUUAUUUAACAUUUUUACAAAUUGAAGUAUUCCCGAUUCUGUACGAAUUAUCAUUUGUCUUCAAGCUAUGGUUCGUACUUGCAUUGUUUGUCAUGUAUCCUCUAAAGAUAAUACAGGCAACGUAUCAUUUCAUUUUUGAAAACAAGUGACGAAAAUAAUCCAUCUCCAAGUGAAGAUAUAGAAAAUGUAAGCGUGUUACCAACAGAGUCAGAGCCAGCUACAUUUUCUGAUUCGUGUGAAGUCGAUUCUAACAGUCAAUAUGAUAUCGCAUUUGCUAUUGAAGAAAAUGCAAAUCUAAAAAUUCGAAACGAUCCAAAUAUGCUUUACAAAUAUUUAAAAGAAACGUGGUCACCGAAACAAAAUUAUAUUUUCCCUGUAAGUAUGAAUAAAAAAGGUCAUAAAAGAAGCUUUCAAAUUGAAUGGCUAAAUAAGCACAACUGAUUAGCUUAUAGUCGUAAUAGAGAAGGAGCGUUUUGUAAAGUAUGUGUACUUUUUGGACCAAAGUUUGGUGAAAUUGGAGGACAAAGGCUUGGGAUCUUAAAAGAAAUUCCUAUGAUAAAAUACAAUGAUGCUUUACACGAUUUUAAGAUACAUAUGGAAAGAGAAUAUCAUAAAACAGCAAUUGUGCGAUCUUUAGAAUUUAUAAAAUUUUUUGAAGGCAAACAAAAAACAAUAGAAAUUCAACUUGAUGAUCAACUAAAUGAAACUGUCAAACAAAAUACAAAGAAGUUAAUUCCUAUAAUUAAAACAAUUAUUUUCUGUGGUCGUCAUAAUAUAUCUAUAAGGAGGCAUAGAGACGAUGUUAAUUUAUCAAAUCUGAUUUCAAAUGAUCAAGCAAAAAAUAAUUUUAAUAUUGGAAUAUUCAAAGAAUUGUUGAUGUUCAGAAUAGACACGGGCGAUGUAGAUGUUCGCAAUCACUUAGAAUCGACUCCAAAAAAAUGCAACAUUUGUUAGUAAAACUAUUCAAAAUAAUUUGAUCGAUAUAUGUGGCUUGAUUAUCACAGACAAAUUAAUAAAAGAGCAAAUACAAUCGUCCAAAAAUUAAAAGAAAUUGGUUUAAGUUUGGAAUUUUUACGAGGGUAGGGAUAUGAUGGUGGAGCAAAUAUGUCUGGUAAAUACCGCGGAGUUCAAGCUAGAAUCUUAAAUUUGCAACCAAAGGCAAUAUACACUCAUUGUGCAUCGCACCGCCUAAAUUUAACUUUAAUAAAAGCAUGUAGAGACAUGAUAUCGAAAGAAAAGUAUCGAUAUUUUCACUUGGUAACGAAUGGAAUGAAAAUAACGAAACGUAACGACCGGUCAGUGACUAAAUGUACCUUGGCCAAAAGAAGAGGAACAAUGACGAAACGUCACACAUGGUAUGGCAGAACUUGCAUCUUAUUCCUUCUACACCCGAUUAUUACAUUUUUUAUUUACUUAAACCACUAAAAUGUCAAAUCUUCAAAAUAGUGGCAACUUGAGAAAUGCUCCUGCGAAGAGUGUCCUUGAUGUGGUGAUAUAGAUAUUGGCAAAUAGUGGUGUAUCAAGUCGACUGAGUAAUCCAGUAAUAGCUAAAAAUUUCUCAUUAUUGAUUGAUAUUAAUGGUAUUAAAGAUGACAUUAAAGAAUUUUCAAGGUCUGAAUGCUAUAAA
Sipha flava (yellow sugarcane aphid) is the source of this 1634-nucleotide long non-coding RNA. RefSeq lists it as uncharacterized. The transcript is spliced from 6 exons. The record is from RefSeq and is a predicted model, not a curated record. Lineage: Eukaryota; Metazoa; Arthropoda; Insecta; Hemiptera; Aphididae.